GUUUUAUGACCAUAAGCCCCUUGUUAAAACAAAGCUUAUCAACGGUCCAAGUUACAGGAAAUGGCAUCUCUCCCUCCCCAUCAUGGCAACUCUGCACCGGCUGGCAGGACAGCUUCUAUCAGACCUAAUUGAUCGCAAUUAUUUCUACUUGUUUGACAUGGAGUCUUUCUUUACAGCUAAAGCGUUAAACAUGUGCAUACCUGGUGGU
RNAcentral lists this unclassified non-coding RNA (208 nucleotides) under Hevea brasiliensis (rubber tree). Lineage: Eukaryota; Viridiplantae; Streptophyta; Magnoliopsida; Malpighiales; Euphorbiaceae. The record is from RNAcentral.